Molecule: ribosomal RNA, 253 nt
Filed under: uncultured bacterium
Lineage: Bacteria
Description: partial 16S ribosomal RNA
Rfam family: Bacterial small subunit ribosomal RNA
Source: RNAcentral
UACAGAGGUCUCGAGCGUUGUUCGGAUUCAUUGGGCGUAAAGGGUGCGUAGGUGGUUUGGUAAGUCGGAUGUGAAAUCCCGGGGCUCAACCCCGGAACUGCAUUCGAUACUGCUGGACUUGAGUCCUGGAGAGGAGAUCGGAAUUUACGGUGUAGCAGAGAAAUGCGUAGAUAUCGUAAGGAAGACCAGUGGCGAAGGCGGAUCUCUGGACAGGAACUGACACUGAGGCACGAAGGCCAGGGGAGCAAACGGG